This 451-nucleotide ribosomal RNA is filed under the name uncultured bacterium. RNAcentral's name for it is "bacterial SSU rRNA". It matches the Rfam family "Bacterial small subunit ribosomal RNA", at positions 335 to 799 of the family's 1533-position model. The record is from RNAcentral.
ACUCCUACGGGAGGCAGCAGUGGGGAAUAUUGGACAAUGGGGGCGAACCCUGAUCCAGCCAUGCCGCGUGAGUGAAGAAGGCCCUAGGGUCGUAAAGCUCUUUCAACUGUGAAGAUAAUGACGGUAGCAGUAGAAGAAACCCCGGCCUAACUCCGUGCCAGCAGCCGCGGUAAUACGGAGGGGUUAGCGUUGUUCGGAAUUACUGGGGCGUAAAGCGCACGUAGGCGGACUAUUAAGUUAGAGGUGAAAUCCCAGGGGCUCAACCCUGGAACUGCCUUUAAUACUGGUAGUCUUGAGUUCGAGAGAGGUGAGUGGAAUUCCGAGUGUAGAGGUGAAAUUCGUAGAUAUUCGGAGGAACACCAGUGGCGAAGGCGGCUCACUGGCUCGAUACUGACGCUGAGGUGCGAAAGUGUGGGGAGCAAACAGGAUUAGAUACCCUGGUAGACUGUCA